This is a long non-coding RNA of Capsicum annuum, 1858 nucleotides long. RefSeq lists it as uncharacterized. The transcript has 7 exons. NCBI's taxonomy places the organism in Eukaryota, Viridiplantae, Streptophyta, Magnoliopsida, Solanales, Solanaceae. The record is from RefSeq and is a predicted model, not a curated record.
GAUUCCAACGGAUAUUUUAUCGCCACGAUUGCCAUAAUCGUUGCAAUAGAAUUACUAUAGCAACGCUUUAAUGGGGGGAAAAAGCUAUUACAACACUUUAUUUAUUCAUUCCACCAAAAUAAACCCUUUUUUAUAUAAUAAAAUCCUUUACAUCCACCAUAGCAACACACCCAUGUCGUUUUAGUCCUCCCCUUCUUGUUAUUCCCAUUCCCUACUUCAUAAACCCUACCAUUUGAAGCGCUGGAGUAAUAUGUAGUCGAUUUAUUUGAAUAUUUUCAACAUUUUCGGUGGUCCAUCCUUGUACGGAGUCACUGCCACUGCUACUGCUCUGACCAAAAAUUCACUAGUUAAGUCAGCUUGUUCAUAAACUGCCACUGCUGGAGGAUCGAUCUUGUUGGUUAUGUUAGAAAUACAUUGGUUAACUCGGCUAUUUCUGUUACUGGUUAACUAAGCUUGUUCAAUCCCUUUUCCAACUCGAAACACUGAAGAAGUUGGAAAGUGCGACCACCAUACCUCGCUGCUCCAACUUCAGCUCCUCCACUGCUCCGACAACCACUUCAAUUUCUGAAAAAAAUUGGUUUUUCUUCUAAGGUUAAUUAAUUCUUCUAAUUGACGAUUUUAACCUAAUUUUUUGAGUUUCUAUUUUGGGUUUUUCUUCUCCUUCACUUUGAUUGCUGAUUGAACAUUUGGGAAUGGGUUUAUUUUGGGUUUAAAGUUACCGAUAAUGCAUUUCCUUGUUUCUGCUCGUAUUCUGCUAAAUAGAUGUAAACUAACAACGAGUACUUGUCUAUUCAUAACAUUAUUGAUAAUAAUGUUCAUGAAAGAUAGAAUAAUUUAGGAUAUUAUUCAUGGAAGGCUCUUGCAAAGAAGCAGGAACUUGAAUCCGCAAAGAAGAAUAAUGUUGAGAACCAGAAGUUGAUCUACAACAGGGCAAAGCUGUAUGCAAGAGAGUACGAGCAGCACGUACUAUUGAACUCCAUAAUUUUUGGAUAACAUGCUUGUUUGAUGUUAAGCUUGGUUAUAAGUUUUCAAAUUCCUUUUUUUGGGACAAGGAGUUGAUUCAUUUGAAACGUGAGGCUAGAUUGAAAGGUGGUUUCUAUGUGGAUCCUGAGGCAAAGUUGUUGUUUAUCAUCAAGAUGCGCGGGAAUUAAUGCUAUGGACUCGAAGGCCAAAAAGAUUUUGCAGCUACUACGUUUGCGACAGAUCAUUAAUGGGGUCUUUUUGAAAGUUAGCAAAGCCACAGUGAACAUGUUUUAUAGGGUUGAACCAGACGUUACCUAUGGGAAAUCAAAACAAGGAUUCCUGAUAAAAUAUCAUGGGACUACAAUUUUGAACCUGCUGGAAGCACUCCUCUCAGCUUUACUAUGAAGGUAUUGGAUUAAUUUCCAUUGGUUGAACUUCUACUCUGCAAAAAGUACAGAGCAACUUCUGUUUCAGAUGGAUGUUGUUGUUGUUUGUGCUAUUCAUAGUUUGCUGUUGGAAGAAGCAACAUGUGUACUGCUAUUUUUUUCGAGGGUCUAUCAGAAGUAGGACUAAGAUUUGCGUACACUAUGCUAUCUAAGAACUCCUCGCGAUUUCACUGGAUUGUGUUCACCGAAUGAAAGAUCUAGCUAUGAGACAGAUUCAAAUGUUGAUCUACAAGAAGAAAUGAGAAACCGAAUGAAAGAUCUAGCUAUGAGACAAGUUUUGCUUCAGCCCUUUAAUGUUGAAAUAGUAUUUGCCCUCUGUUCUGUAUUUUCAUAUUUGAUGUAUAUUAGGGGAUUCAUUGACAUUGUUUUCUUGGUAAUUGUAUGUUUUUUAGAAUUUCCAAUACCAUUAAUAAAGAUCCAAUAUUGGUAUUUCCCCAGUGUUCCCACGA